Cavia porcellus (domestic guinea pig) is the source of this 510-nucleotide long non-coding RNA. RefSeq lists it as uncharacterized. NCBI's taxonomy places the organism in Eukaryota, Metazoa, Chordata, Mammalia, Rodentia, Caviidae. The record is from RefSeq and is a predicted model, not a curated record. The transcript has 3 exons.
AGCACUUUCAUACUGAACGAGAUAAAGAAGAAAGAAACAAAGCUCAGUGCACCAUUAGCCAAAACUAGAUUUUCUUUUGAUUUAAGGUAGUUCUUGAUUACAGCCUCAGUCUUUACUUGAAAUAAAUUCAUAGCUUUGUGAAUUUCAUUUUAAAGCCAGUAAUUCUGAAUUAAAGAAUUGUGUAGGAUCAUGGAGAAAACUGGUCAUGUUCCAAAAUGGAUAACUGCUAGAGACCCCAAGAAUGUCUUCUAUGGUAUGAUUUUCUCCAUCAGAGAGCUUAGAUCUUAGAUAUUCUUCAAAGAAACGUGUGAUAGAGUUGGUCUCCAGCACACCGGCACUGGGAAUGAGGCCUGGAAGAUGUGGAAAGUCUUCUGCUCAGUGGAGGCAUUCCCUUGAAGGAGAUGUGGGGCUCAGCCUCUUCCUCUGCUGUUCUUUUACUGUCCAGCCAUGAGAAUUACGCACUGAAACAUGAAGACAGCAGUGAAAUACGAACAAAAAUACCAUGAAAAG